AAUUUGUAUAUAUAUGUGUAUGUGUGUGUGUGUGUGUGUAUAUAUAUAUAUAUAUAUACACACACACACACACACACACACACACACAUU
Molecule: microRNA precursor, 90 nt
Filed under: Marmota monax (woodchuck)
Lineage: Eukaryota; Metazoa; Chordata; Mammalia; Rodentia; Sciuridae
Source: RNAcentral